RNAcentral lists this ribosomal RNA (200 nucleotides) under uncultured bacterium. RNAcentral's name for it is "partial 16S ribosomal RNA". It matches the Rfam family "Bacterial small subunit ribosomal RNA", at positions 524 to 724 of the family's 1533-position model. The record is from RNAcentral.
UACAGAGGGGCAAGCGUUGUUCGGAAUUACUGGGCGUAAAGGGCGCGUAGGCGGCCUGUUAAGUCGGACGUGAAAUCCCCGGGCUCAACCCGGGAACUGCGUCCGAUACUGGCAGGCUUGAAUCCGGGAGAGGGAUGUGGAAUCCAGGUGUAGCGGUGAAAUGCGGUAGAUAUCUGGAGGAACACCGGUGGCGAAGGCGG